UCAGCCUCCUCAACACAAACAUGUUUGCUGAUGCUGAUACUGGUGGUGACAUGGGUAGAUUGUGCUAUUGAACACACUCAGCCCAGCUCCAUCAUGGUAAAGCCAGGAGAGUCUCUGACAGUUACCUGCAAAGUGACUGGAGCAUCCAUUACAGAUAGCAGCUACUAUGGAACAGCCUGGAUCCGUCAGGCAGCAGGGAAACCUCUAGAGUGGAUCAACACGCUCUACUAUGAAGAAAGCAAAAAUGAAAACAAUGCCCUGAAGAACAAGUUCAGCAUCUCCAGAGACACGUCCAGUAACACAGUGACUCUACAGGGUCAGAAUCUACAGGCUGGAGACACAGCUGUGUACUACUGUGCCGAGAGUCACUGUGACAGAAAACAAGCACUUACACUGACAAAAACUCUCCCUAGUAAUCAGUAGUAUUCAUUUAAUGUCAGAAUGUGAGUUUAA
Non-coding RNA from Alosa alosa (allis shad), 453 nucleotides. The record is from the annotation of a RefSeq genome assembly. NCBI's taxonomy places the organism in Eukaryota, Metazoa, Chordata, Actinopteri, Clupeiformes, Clupeidae.